Long non-coding RNA from Hyaena hyaena (striped hyena), 508 nucleotides. RefSeq lists it as uncharacterized. The transcript has 3 exons. The record is from RefSeq and is a predicted model, not a curated record. NCBI's taxonomy places the organism in Eukaryota, Metazoa, Chordata, Mammalia, Carnivora, Hyaenidae.
UAACAUGUCAUCUCAAGCUUCUCUCCCAGGAUGGCAGGGAACACAUGCCUCCCCAUCCUUAGCAGGAAACAGCCACAAGCAAGAAACUGCUUCAAACAAUUCUAUUCUUUGCCCAGAAGAUUCUCCCCAUCUCUUAGAGCUCUUUAAGAGUUCAAUAGUACAUCCUUGAGGUCUUAGUUUAAACCAUAUAGGUGGGAGGAAGGAAAGCACUCUAUCCUAGAUUCUAAGCUCCACGGGCAUGGGCUGCAUAUGGAGCAGUCUCGCACGCCAGAGCCUAGCGCGAUGUCUGGGAAACAACGGUCGCUUAUUGAGCUUGUGGUUGGUGUUUUAAAUGAUCUCACUACGCCCAUAGGUGGGUACUGUUACUAUUUCCAUUGUGAAGAGGAGGAAAUUGAGAGACUGUGAAGUUUAUCCCAAAAGCCAUUGGCCACUCUGGGAUUAAUUCUCAGGCCUGUCUGAUUCUUGGCACUCACUACGUAGUGAUCAAUAAAUACCGUUGGAAAUACAA